RNAcentral lists this ribosomal RNA (120 nucleotides) under Nitrososphaerota archaeon. Lineage: Archaea; Thermoproteati; Nitrososphaerota. The record is from RNAcentral.
GUUGCCGGCCAUAGCAAUGGUGUUCCACCUGGUCCCAUUCCGAACCCAGAAGUUAAGCCCAUUGACGCUGUUGUGUUAGUUAGGUCCGAAAGGUCUUGCGAAGCAAUAGUGCCGGCACAU